This 105-nucleotide small nuclear RNA is filed under the name Propithecus coquereli (Coquerel's sifaka). The record is from RNAcentral. Lineage: Eukaryota; Metazoa; Chordata; Mammalia; Primates; Indriidae.
GUGCUCACUUUGGCAGCACAUAUAUUAAAUUGAAAUGGUACAGAGAAUAUUAGUAUGGCCCCUUGCAAGGAUGACACACAAAUUCAUAAAGCAUUCCAUAUUUUA